RNAcentral lists this ribosomal RNA (348 nucleotides) under uncultured bacterium. RNAcentral describes it as "bacterial SSU rRNA". It matches the Rfam family "Bacterial small subunit ribosomal RNA", at positions 28 to 376 of the family's 1533-position model. The record is from RNAcentral.
GAUGAACGCUAGCGGCAGGCUUAAUACAUGCAAGUCGAGGGGUAACAUGGUAGCAAUACUGAUGACGACCGGCAAACGGGUGCGGAACACGUACAGAACCUUCCUUUAAGCGGGGGAUAGCCCAUAGAAAUGUGGAUUAAUACCCCAUAGCAAUAUUUGAUGGCAUCAUUAGAUAUUUAAAGAUUUAUCACUUAAAGAUGGCUGUGCGGCUGAUUAGGUAGNGGUGCGGGUAACGGCCCACCAAGCCAUCGAUCAGUAACUGGUGUGAGAGCACGACCAGUCACACGGGCACUGAGACACGGGCCCGACUCCUACGGGAGCAGCAGUAAGGAAUAUUGGUCAAUGGGC